AAACAAAACUAACCUAACACUAUUUGAAACUGUCAAUACAUUAGUUAUGUUUGAAAGAAUAGUUGCUUAGUAAGAUCUUGUGCAUAAGGCAAUGUUCCUGCUGUAUUUUGUAAUAUGCUGUUCAAAAAUCCAAUGGUGUAAUUUUACACCUGCUCGCAAGCCAAGGGCUAUAGUACGACCAAAUUUCACAAUUUUUUAUCAUUGCAUUGGUAAAGAAAAUUCAAAUGACCAAAUACGAUACUUUGCCAAACUCUCUUAUCUUGCUUCGUUCUUGAGAUAUUUGACAAUGUUUCAUAUGCAAAUUAUCCUCACUAUAUGCUGUCAAGAUCUUCGGAUAUCUUGCAUCGAAAUCAUAAGACCGCACAUAAUGUGUUAUAUCAACAUAUACUGCAAGUAUAUGUUAUAUGGCGACACAUUUGAGUCAAUUAUCUAUGCGAGACAUGCGAAUUAUAAAAGUUUUCUCAGAAAGCCAUUUUGCAAUUUGACCUCACAAUGAGGAUAAUUUGCAUAUCAAGAAAGAAACAGGCUAAGAUAGUUUGGCAAAUUAUCUUAAUAGUCAUUUUCAAUUUUCUUUACAAUGCAAUCAUAAAAAUAGACAGUGUAAAAUGUUUGUUGCAAAAGCACAUUAACCAAGCGAGUUUUAUAGUUAACUACUAUUUGACUACAAAAUAGUAUAGUUGAAAAGAGGUUGAGGAGGCAGGGUCUAGAUUAAGUCAUCAUAACUGUGGAGAUCUUACUAAAUUUCGUGAAUCUUUCAAACUAUAGUAAUGGCAAAGCUGUAAUUAAGAAUAUUUGCAGACCCUAUUUAAUGCAUGGUGGUUAAUUUUAACUUAUUGCUGUUAAACUAUCUGUUUUUCUAUUUGCUAGACAUUAAUUGCUGCAUAACUAUACGCAAACACAAUAUUAACUAUUUCCCAAGCACAUAAUAUUUAGUAUAUGAAGAAGGAUUCAUUUGUAUUGUAGGAUAUUUUGUAUUGCAAUAAACACCAACUAUAGCCUGUUAGGAAUUGAUGUGUGGGCUGCGCUAUAACAUUGAUAUUUUAAUUUGAUCUCUCUGCAUUCUUCAGACAUUCGGCAAGUUUUGAAUAACAAAUGCAAGUUUUAUUUGCCAAUCGCACGUUUGUAUUGUCUGCUUCCGAGGGAAAUAUGUUGUUUUCCCGAGAGUCUCGAUGUUCUCGAGACGAAGUCGAGUAAUUUGUAUACUAAUAAUACACAGUACGCGGUUGGUCAGAGAUCUAUUGUUGUAAUACACUGAGCUAUAAUAAUAUCUAUCGUGGUGUCCAGAAAACCAAAAACCUGUCAUAGAAAAUUGUUGUACGUAAUAAAAUUGAAUACUGGAC
Molecule: non-coding RNA, 1340 nt
Organism: Paramuricea clavata
Lineage: Eukaryota; Metazoa; Cnidaria; Anthozoa; Malacalcyonacea; Plexauridae
Source: the annotation of a GenBank genome assembly